RNAcentral lists this ribosomal RNA (490 nucleotides) under uncultured bacterium. RNAcentral describes it as "bacterial SSU rRNA". It matches the Rfam family "Bacterial small subunit ribosomal RNA", at positions 28 to 507 of the family's 1533-position model. The record is from RNAcentral.
GAUGAACGCUAGCUACAGGCCUAACACAUGCAAGUCGAGGGGAAACGGCAGCUUAGCUUGCUAAGCUGGACGUCGACCGGCGCACGGGUGAGUAACGCGUAUCCAACCUGCCCCACGGUGAGGGAUAACCCGCGGAAACGCGGCCUAAUACCUCAUGGCCUCCGAGCUUGACAUCAACCUUGGAGUAAAGAUUCAUUGCCGUGGGAUGGGGAUGCGUCUGAUUAGCUUGUUGGCGGGGCAACGGCCCACCAAGGCUACGAUCAGUAGGGGUUCUGAGAGGAAAGCCCCCCACAUUGGAACUGAGACACGGUCCAAACUCCUACGGGAGGCAGCAGUGAGGAAUAUUGGUCAAUGGGCGAGAGCCUGAACCAGCCAAGUAGCGUGCAGGAAGACGGCCCUAUGGGUUGUAAACUGCUUUUAUAAGGGAAUAAAGUGGGUCUCGUGAGACUUUUUGCAUGUACCUUAUGAAUAAGGACCGGCUAAUUCCGUG